This 83-nucleotide transfer RNA is filed under the name Pseudomonadota bacterium. Its description in RNAcentral is "tRNA-Ser". It matches the Rfam family "tRNA". From Rfam's summary of the family: Transfer RNA (tRNA) molecules are approximately 80 nucleotides in length. Their secondary structure includes four short double-helical elements and three loops (D, anti-codon, and T loops). RNAcentral also lists the same sequence under 1 other name. Lineage: Bacteria; Pseudomonadati; Pseudomonadota. The record is from RNAcentral.
GGAGGAGUGGCCGAGUGGACGAAGGCAGCGGUCUUGAAAACCGCAGCACGAAAGUGCCGGGGGUUCGAAUCCCUCCUCCUCCG